Myotis myotis is the source of this 984-nucleotide long non-coding RNA. RefSeq lists it as uncharacterized. The transcript has 6 exons. The record is from RefSeq and is a predicted model, not a curated record. NCBI's taxonomy places the organism in Eukaryota, Metazoa, Chordata, Mammalia, Chiroptera, Vespertilionidae.
AAGAUGUUCCGUGUGAGAAGGUUGAGGGGAGGCCGAUGUCUCCGCUGGCUGUUGGGUGUGAUGGAAGCAGCCAGGCCAAGUCAUGCAUUGAAGGUGGAUGUUCAUUCCCGUUUGGCCAUCCAUGCGAGGUGAUUUUUCUUUGGAGCUUCCCUGUGCGGUGACCCAGUGUGUCCUUGGGUGGAUGCCUUUCUGCUCUGAAGAGGGUCGUCCCCCUGGCCCCACUCUUUGCGUAGAAGUCCUGUGGCCAGUUGUUUGAGUGACCCGUCGUGGACUCUGGAGGCGGUUGUCAUUUAUUGAAUGUGGAAGUCCCUGUUUGGCCAUCCGUGGGAGGUCGUUGUUCCUUGGAGCUUCCCUGUGAGGUCUUUGUGCCCUUCCUGGUGGCCAUGUUCUCCCUGUGGAGGUUGCUGUUGGUCUGAGGGAUCUGUGCGUUGUUUUCCCCAUGCACGCACCUUGCCAGCAUUGAAUGAAGGUUCUUCCUAGGGUGUGGCCCCGAUAUGGGAAGUUGAGAGGACCCUUUCCUGGCAUCGCAGAGUGCAUGGAUUACGUGGUGGAGCGCCCAGUGUGAAAAAGGACGAUGACGGAUCCUGUCGCCUGUGUGCGUGUCUGAAGCAUACCUGUGGGUUGGAGGACACUGUGCUUGGGCAAGCAUGUGUCCCCACCUGUCCAUCUAUUGUAUGCGUUGCUGCCCCCUUAAAACGUCGUGGCCGAUGAUACGGGUGGUCGCUUUUCAUCAUCCCGGCGCUGCCUUUAGUCCAGCACUAUCCCCCUUCACCCACCCCAGUGGUCCUCGACGUAGUGCUGUGCUGGUGCAUGUUUCACCCAAGAGCCUGGGCUUCUUUCUCUCUGGGACGUCUUUCCCCAUCGUCCUGCCUGUAGCGCCCCCCCACCCUUUCCCGCAAAAUGAUCCCAGGUUUUCUCCCCACCAGAGUCACCUCCCCGAUAAUGCGCCCGCACCCACUCGGCUUACCCCCACUUCUCCAAUGC